RNAcentral lists this unclassified non-coding RNA (404 nucleotides) under soil metagenome. RNAcentral describes it as "partial contains 5.8S ribosomal RNA, internal transcribed spacer 2, and large subunit ribosomal RNA". The stretch from base 1 to 121 matches the Rfam family "5.8S ribosomal RNA", at positions 35 to 154 of the family's 154-position model. The record is from RNAcentral.
GAUGAAGAACGCAGCGAAAUGCGAUAAGUAAUGUGAAUUGCAGAAUUCAGUGAAUCAUCGAAUCUUUGAACGCACCUUGCGCCCUUUGGCUAUUCCGAAGGGCAUGCCUGUUUGAGUAUCAUGAACACCUCAACCCUCAUGGUUUGCCAUGAUGGGCUUGGACUUUGGGGGUCUUGCUGGAUUGUAGUCAGCUCCCCUUAAAUGAAUCAGCUUGCCAGUGUUUGGUGGCAUCACAGGUGUGAUAAAUAUCUACGCUUGUGGUUUUACAUCAGAUAACCUUCAGUGAUGGAGGUUCACUGGAGCUCAUAAAGGUGUCUCUCCUCUGUGAGGACAGCUCUUUGAAUGUUUGAUCUCAAAUCGGGCAGGACUACCCGCUGAACUUAAGCAUAUCAAUAAGCGGAGGA